RNAcentral lists this ribosomal RNA (403 nucleotides) under uncultured prokaryote. RNAcentral describes it as "bacterial SSU rRNA". It matches the Rfam family "Bacterial small subunit ribosomal RNA", at positions 355 to 774 of the family's 1533-position model. The record is from RNAcentral.
UAGGGAAUUUUCCACAAUGGACGAAAGUCUGAUGGAGCAACGCCGCGUGCAGGAUGAAGGCUUUCGGGUCGUAAACUGCUUUUAUCUGUGAAGAUUAUGACGGUAGCAGAUGAAUAAGGAUCGGCUAACUCCGUGCCAGCAGCCGCGGUCAUACGGAGGAUCCAAGCGUUAUCCGGAAUUACUGGGCGUAAAGAGUUGCGUAGGCGGCAUAGUAAGCAGAGUGUGAAAUCGUGUGGCUCAACCAUACACCCAUGCUCUGAACUGCUAAGCUAGAGAAUGGAAGAGGUCGCUAGAAUUCCUGGUGUAGGGGUGAAAUCCGUAGAUAUCAGGAGGAAUACCGAUGGCGUAGGCAGGCGACUGGUCCAUUUCUGACGCUCAGGCACGAAAGCGUGGGGAGCGAUCG